RNAcentral lists this unclassified non-coding RNA (426 nucleotides) under Hevea brasiliensis (rubber tree). The record is from RNAcentral. Lineage: Eukaryota; Viridiplantae; Streptophyta; Magnoliopsida; Malpighiales; Euphorbiaceae.
GAGCAGCCAACCCCUGCAAACGAUACCUACCGAUAAAAUCUUACCGCUAUAUAAACCAUUCCUUUUCUUCCACUUCUCCAUCGCCCUGGUGAAUAUUCCACAUUUUCUUUCUCUGUCUGCCAAUGACUAUUCGACAGGAUACGUCUCCAUCAGCAAUCUGAUCCCACGAUGGACGAUUGAUCCUCCGUGUGGUUGGCAAUUGUAUCGGAAUCUGGUUUGCAGAGCUUUCCAUCUCCACCCAGUGGGAGUUUUAUCUUGGGCGAGAGUCUCUUCACUUCUUCUGUUGUGUAAAUGAAUAUCUUCCUUACCAUGCUGCAGAACUCGUUCCAAGGAUCAUCUCCAACCAUCAUCAUAUCAUCUUCAUCAUCGGUGUAAACAACCUGCCAUUUCUUUAAAGAGCCACAGAGCUCACCCUCUAUGUCAAAC